Molecule: ribosomal RNA, 336 nt
Filed under: uncultured bacterium
Lineage: Bacteria
Description: partial 16S ribosomal RNA
Rfam family: Bacterial small subunit ribosomal RNA
Source: RNAcentral
CCUACGGGAGGCAGCAGUAGGGAAUAUUGCUCAAUGGGGGAAACCCUGAAGCAGCAACGCCGCGUGGAGGAUGAAGGUUUUCGGAGUGGAAACUCCUUUUGUUAGAGAAGAGAAGGACGGUAGCUAAGGAAUAAGCACCGGCUAACGCCGUGCCCGCAUCCGCGGUAAUACGGAGGGUGCAAGCGUUACUCGGAAUCACUGGGCGUAAAGAGCGCGUAGGCGGGAUAGCAAGUCAGAUGUGAAAUCCUAUGGCUUAACCAUAGAACUGCAUUUGAAACUGUUAUUCUAGAGUAUGGGAGAGGUAGGUGGAAUUCUUGGUGUAGUGGUCACAUCCUU